This 325-nucleotide ribosomal RNA is filed under the name uncultured bacterium. RNAcentral describes it as "bacterial SSU rRNA". It matches the Rfam family "Bacterial small subunit ribosomal RNA", at positions 28 to 334 of the family's 1533-position model. The record is from RNAcentral.
GAUGAACGCUGGCGGCGUGCUUAACACAUGCAAGUCGAACGGAGUGCCUUUGAAAGAGGAUUCGUCCAAUUGAUAAGGUUACUUAGUGGCGGACGGGUGAGUAACGCGUGAGGAACCUGCCUUGGAGUGGGGAAUAACACAGUGAAAAUUGUGCUAAUACCGCAUAAUGCAGUUGGGCCGCAUGGCUCUGACUGCCAAAGAUUUAUCGCUCUGAGAUGGCCUCGCGUCUGAUUAGCUAGUUGGUAGGGUAACGGCCUACCAAGGCGACGAUCAGUAGCCGGCUUGAGAGAGUGAUCGGCCACAUUGGGACUGAGACACGGCCCAA